GACGAACGCUGGCGGCGUGCUUAACACAUGCAAGUCGAACGGAAAGGCCCUGCUGGGGUGGGGUGCUCGGGGGGCGGACGGGUAAGUAACACGUAAGUAACCUGCUCUUGACUUUGGGAUAACUUCAGGUAGGGGGAGUUAAGACCGGAUAGCAUCGCCGCUUGGAGGGGGGGGGUUGGAUAGUUUCGGCUGGUGGGGAUGGACGCGCGGCUUACCAGCUGGUUGGUGGGGUAGUGGCUUACCAAGGCUUGGGCGGGUAGCCGGCCUGAGAGGGUGACCGGCCACAUUGGGACUGAGAUAGGGCCCAGCUUCCUACGGGGGGCAGCGGGGGGGAAUAUUGCCCAGUGGGCGGAAGCCUGUGGAAGAACCGCCCCGUGCGGGAUGCCGGCCUUGGGGUUGUAAACCGCUUUCGCCUGUGACGAAGCGUGAGUGACGGUACUGGGUAAAGAAGCACCGGCUAACUACGUG
This 468-nucleotide ribosomal RNA is filed under the name uncultured bacterium. Its description in RNAcentral is "partial 16S ribosomal RNA". It matches the Rfam family "Bacterial small subunit ribosomal RNA", at positions 28 to 507 of the family's 1533-position model. The record is from RNAcentral.